Molecule: long non-coding RNA, 593 nt
Filed under: Mytilus galloprovincialis (Mediterranean mussel)
Lineage: Eukaryota; Metazoa; Mollusca; Bivalvia; Mytilida; Mytilidae
Source: RNAcentral
UUGACUAUUUCUGCUUUAAUGUAUUAUGUACAAAAAAAUUAAUUACUAAAAGUAGUUUCUUCCGUUUAAGAUUUCAUAUCAGUAUGUGUUAUCGGUUCUCUGUAGAUUUGUGAAUACUUUUUUAAACCUUCUUAUUUUUACUUUAACAGUGACAGAUUUGCAAAAGUGGGGCGUCCCUUUUGUUAUCUGAGGUUUAUAAAUACGUAGUCAAGAUCGGUCGGAAUGAGAACGUUAAGUUACUCACUCUGCACGAUGAAAACUCACGCAACAACUCCUUGAGGAGUCCAUGGGAUGCCCGUUGCUGGUGCUAAAUUACUGCCACAAUAAAAAAAAAGAAAAAAAAAAAAAAAAACUCAUUUACCAUUUGCAUCCGAAGUUCUUACAUAUACCCAGUUGGCUUACUUUUCAAAACCUUGAAGUUCCUUUUUCAUUAAAUAUUUAUUUUCUCUGAUCUUGAAAGAGAGAUACCAGAGGGGUAGUCAAACUCAUAAAUCGAAAAUAAACUGACAACGCCAUGGCUAGAAAUGAAAAAGACAAACAGACAAACAAUACUACACAUAACACAACAUAUAAAACGAAAAAAUAAGCAACAC